Molecule: long non-coding RNA, 2336 nt
Organism: Homo sapiens (human)
Lineage: Eukaryota; Metazoa; Chordata; Mammalia; Primates; Hominidae
Gene: SNHG1
Product: small nucleolar RNA host gene 1
Source: Ensembl
GUUACUCUUUUGUACUUUGUCUUUUUCUUUUAUUUUCUUUUGAGCGAUUGUGCGAACAUAGCAUAGCACGCACUAUGCCUUCUGUGUUGUAGCUGCCUGGCCAGGGCGACUGGCGGAUAAGGUCUUGUGCGUGGCCUCGAGGCUUAAAAGUAGCAGUGGGGCUUUGUGAAGGACAAAAUGGCGAUGGCGGGCCGUGUAGGUCCCCCUUCCUAUGAUGAGGACCUUUUCACAGACCUGUACUGAGCUCCGUGAGGAUAAAUAACUCUGAGGAGAUGGGCCCUGCAAGCCUCUUGCUUAGCCGUCUGUUCAGAAAAUAGCGUUUUCGAAAUGCCCUGAGUUGACCUAAUGUCUUAUUGGGCUCCUGUCUGCAGGAUUUACGCGCACGUUGGAACCGAAGAGAGCUCUGUUGUUGCAAUGUUCAGCCCACAAGAGCUUACUGGUGAAGGAAUGGGACAAGACCCAUCUUUAUGCAAAGCCAGCGUUACAGUAAUGUUCCAGCAUCUCAUAAUCUAUCCUGGGGAAUUCAGCUGCCUCCCAGGGUGAAUACAGGUAUUCCUGAUGACAGUCUGCCUCUAUCUUACAGUAAGUUGUUUUUCGAAUUCUAUGGGCCUAUUAUCUAAUAGAUAACUUAGCCAUUUUGAUAUUUGUUACCAAAGCCUGCUUAACCCAUAAAGUUUUCUGGUUCCUCUUGUUCUCUGUAGUGAUGUUUCUAGAUAGAUGCCCACUGAUAUAUGCCCCUUUUUUCUCAGAUAGAUGCCCACUGAUCUGCCCAGGGUCAGACGAAUGCUUGUCAGUUGUAGCUUUCCAGGAUUCUGCUCCAAUGAGGAGGAAACAUCCUGCCUUACCCCUGUUUUAGCCUGGGAACCAGUAAUUGUGAACUCACCAGGGUUAACAUGAAGAGGGCAUGAGAGCUUAUUCCAUAAGGAAUUGUCUGAGACAUUUGGUUACCUUUUCUUAGUUUGUCCAUUAGCAACCGUAACUAAAAUAGUUUUGGCUGUUUGGGAUAAUUAGCUAAUUGAAUGAUUUUUUGAUUCAGGAGCAGCUUGUUGCUAUAUACCAUUGAAAAGCCUUCAGAGCUGAGAGGUUAGUUGAUAUUUUUUGUUCCUUACAGCUUAUGCCACCAAGUAGGCAGUUUCUAUGAUGAAUCAAACUAGCUCACUAUGACCGACAGUGAAAAUACAUGAACACCUGAGAAACUGGAGAACGCAGGGAGUGGGGGGUAACCAUGUCUGAGGAAUCUUUCACCCACAGCUUUGUUUUUCUCUAGGUACUACUAACCAAUAACCUGCUUGGCUCAAAGGGCCAGCACCUUCUCUCUAAAGCCCAAGAGGAGUUUGAGGAAAACUAGGUGUCUGUGUUCACUCCAGGCUGAAGUUACAGGUGAGUAAACCUAAAUGUAAGGUGGACUAUGCUAAAAAUUCCCAAUGAAGAAACUUUCACAUGUCUUACUCUCUGUCCUAGUCCCAGAGCCUGUAAAGGUGAACCCACUGGGACUGGCUGGGGGAGAAGAGGAAGAUUUGUUCCAGAAGGAACUGUCUGAGGGAUGAUAAAGAUUUCUAUACAGAGAAAGGGAGUAAUCAUCACUUGUUGAAAACAUUGGUUUUAUUUUUUCCAGGUCUGAGCAAAUAAGGUGUAUAAAAAAUGGAAUCUGUCUUGGAGGACAUCAGAAGGUGAAUUUUCCAAGUUCUUGGACAACCUAGCUGUUGAAAAGCUUUCUGGGUUUGGGGGGUAUUUCAGAUGUACCUUAAAGUGUUAGCAGACACAGAUUAAGACACUGGGAGCCAAUGAAACAGCAGUUGAGGGUUUGCUGUGUAUCACAUUUCUGUAUUUUAUCACCCCCUUCCUGCAACAUUAUUUAUCUGGAAUCUACCUGCCCUUUUGUUUUUUAGAUACAAGGGCUUGGUUUUGUUACCCAGGCUGGUUUCAAGGCCAUAGCUUUAAGAGAUCCUCUCACCACAGAUUUCCAAAGUGCUGGGAUUGCAGGUGUGAUUCAUGGCACCCAGACUUUGCUGCCUUUCUUACAUGAUCCAGGCCCAGAACCCAAACUCAGGCACUGUAUAGAUGACCACUUUCGUAAACUACUGACCUAGCUUGUUGCCAAUUGUUGAUUGAACUUCCCAUAACUCCACUUCGUGUCUGUUCCUCUGUAUACAGCCACCUUCUGUUCCCGUCAUGAGCCUUUAGGUCUCCAUUUGCAUAUUGCAAAUACUAUGUUCCAUGUAGGUAGCUCAUUCAGGGCCUUGCUCUUCACUUCAAAAAAGGUUCCCUUGAGGACUGGCUGUCAAUUUGUGUUGCUGUGUUGGUUGUUGAUGAAAAUAAUAAAAUGAUUGAUUACA